GGCAGACGGGUGAGUAACACGUGGAUAACCUGCCCCUUAGUGGGGAAUAACCCAGGGAAACUUGGGCUAAUACCGCAUAACAUCGUUUCCUCCCUGGGGGAGGCGAUUAAAGGUGGGGAUCGAAAGACCUACCGCUAUGGGAGGGGUCCGCGUCUGAUUAGCUUGUUGGUGGGGUAAUGGCCUACCAAGGCUUCGAUCAGUAGCCGGCCUGAGAGGGUGACCGGCCACACUGGAACUGAGACACGGUCCAG
RNAcentral lists this ribosomal RNA (251 nucleotides) under uncultured bacterium. RNAcentral's name for it is "partial 16S ribosomal RNA". It matches the Rfam family "Bacterial small subunit ribosomal RNA", at positions 97 to 334 of the family's 1533-position model. The record is from RNAcentral.